This 372-nucleotide ribosomal RNA is filed under the name uncultured organism. Its description in RNAcentral is "partial 16S ribosomal RNA". It matches the Rfam family "Bacterial small subunit ribosomal RNA", at positions 527 to 896 of the family's 1533-position model. The record is from RNAcentral.
GUAGGUGGCAAGCGUUGUCCGGAAUUAUUGGGCGUAAAGCGCGCGCAGGCGGUUCUUUAAGUCUGAUGUGAAAGCCCACGGGCUCAACCGCGGAGGGUCAUUGGAAACUGGAGAACUUGAGUACAGAAGAGGAAAGCGGAAUUCCACGUGUAGCGGUGAAAUGCGUAGAGAUGUGGAGGAACACCAGUGGCGAAGGCGGCUUUCUGGUCUGUAACUGACGCUGAGGCGCGAAAGCGUGGGGAGCAAACAGGAUUAGAUACCCUGGUAGUCCACGCCGUAAACGAUGAGUGCUAAGUGUUAGGGGGUUUCCGCCCCUUAGUGCUGCAGCUAACGCAUUAAGCACUCCGCCUGGGGAGUACGGCCGCAAGGCUG